This is a long non-coding RNA of Rhopalosiphum padi (bird cherry-oat aphid), 1031 nucleotides long. RefSeq lists it as uncharacterized. The record is from RefSeq and is a predicted model, not a curated record. The transcript is spliced from 3 exons. Lineage: Eukaryota; Metazoa; Arthropoda; Insecta; Hemiptera; Aphididae.
UUAGAUCCGGUGCGGCGGCAGACCCCCGGGCCCGGGGAACGAACGAAAACUUACCCUACUCUCUUUAUUAGCACAAAUCUGGCAACGUCGGAGUGCGAUUUUUCUAAUGCCCGCGUAUAUGAGCUAUGUACACAUAAAAUAUAUAAUAUAUGUGUACAAUACGUAAUUUCACACACACGACCAAAGUGCGCGAUGGCUUAUAAAUAUUAUAACUUGCGAUAAAUAAACAACGAAUUUUCAAACUCCAUUAAAUUGUGAAAACGUUGAAUUUUCAUUGCCGCCGUGGUUUUAAAAAUAUUAAAGCUGUGACAGUCAAUAAUCUUUAUAACAGUACCUACUCCAAAACAAAAGAUUAUUACCUAUGAGCCACAAAAUUUCAAAAUCAUCACAUAUAUAGCUGCUGAUUGCUGAGCCAUAUCUUAUUACUGCACGCACAGUAUAAUAUAUCCGAUAUACAUAUAAUAUCGUUAGAUAUUAGCCAUUAUAAGUGAGGUAGGAACACAUCAAUGAAACAUGAUAUGUGAAAAUCGAAUAUUCAACGACGUACAAGUGCACGCACAAAAAAUUCAUCAGGUGACUAUACGAUGAGUAUUGUCGGCGGAAUUCGAAACGCAUUAAAAUUACACGACUCAACACAAAAACACGAGCACGGUGGGCUUGGACAUAUUAAAUGUGUAGGUUAUUUAGUUAACAUAUUUUUUACAUGCGUAUACAUAAUAAUGUUCAACUGUUGCGCGUUUUCGGUGAUGACAAAAUAGUCGUACGGACUAAUGCGUAUAGACACAAUAUACCGUAAUACAUUGUGAUAGUGCUUUUACACCUUGUAUAACGUGUUAGGUUAGUAUACUAUAGUAUAUUAGGUAUAUUAAUUAUCAAAAUUAAAAAAAUGUAUCAAAACGAUCUAUAAUACGCGUAAACAUGUAAUAAACAAUAAUAUUAUAAUAUCAUUAUACAGGUAGGUAUACUGUAUUAUUGUGGUAGGUAUACUUACGUUGACGUUAAGAACGGAUGGGAUUUUCUUAUUGUUGCUC